RNAcentral lists this long non-coding RNA (644 nucleotides) under Zonotrichia albicollis (white-throated sparrow). Its description in RNAcentral is "lncRNA (ENSZALG00000001727.1)". Lineage: Eukaryota; Metazoa; Chordata; Aves; Passeriformes; Passerellidae. The record is from RNAcentral.
AAGGCCUGGGUGUGACCCUGCAGCACCAGCGGGGUCCCCUCCCUGUGCCCCGUCAUCAUCAUCAUCAUCAUCAUCAUCAUCAUCCUCGGCCCUCUGUGGGGAGGUGUCACUGCUCAGCCUGGGCACUGCUGUGGUGUAUCCCAAAAAAUCCCCCAAAAAUCCCCAAAAUCUGCAAUGGAAUGGAGAGACAGUGUGGGACAGGUGUGGGUUGGGCAGGGCAGCUUCAUCCCCAUAAAUCCCCCUGUGAUUUAUCCCAAAAAUCCCAGGGCAGCUUCAUCUUCAUCCUCCUAAAUCAUCCUGUGGUUUAUCCCAAAAAUCCCAGGGCAGCUUCAUCCUUCCAAAUCCCCCUCUGGUUUAUCCCAAAAAUCCCCAAAAUCUGCAAUGGAAUGGAGACACCGUGUGGGACAGGUGUGGGUUGGGCAGGGCAGCUUCAUCCUCCUAAAUCACCCUGUGGUUUAUCCCAAAAAUCCCAGGGAAGUUUCAUCCUCCUAAAUUACCUUCUGGUUAACCCCAAAAAUCCCAAGGCAGCUUCAUCCUUCCAGAUCACUCUGUGGUUUAUCCCAAAAAUCCCAGGGCAGCUUCAUCUUCAUCCUCUUAAAUCACCCUGUGGUUUAUCCCAAAAAACUCCAACUGAAUGAAAACAC